RNAcentral lists this unclassified non-coding RNA (20 nucleotides) under Mus musculus (house mouse). RNAcentral describes it as "oocyte_clustered_small_RNA5855". Lineage: Eukaryota; Metazoa; Chordata; Mammalia; Rodentia; Muridae. The record is from RNAcentral.
AUAUAACCACCAGUUGAGCC